GAUGAACGCUGGCGGUGUGCCUAAUACAUGCAAGUCGAACGAACCCUUCGGGGUUAGUGGCGGACGGGUGAGUAACACGUGGGAACGUGCCCUUUGGUUCGGAAUAACUCAGGGAAACUUGAGCUAAUACCGGAUGAGCCCUACGGGGGAAGAUUAUCGCCAUUGGAGCGGCCCGCGUCUGAUUAGCUAGUUGGUAGGGUAAAGGCCUACCAAGGCUACGAUCAGUAGCUGGUCUGAGAGGAUGANCAGCCACACUGGGACUGAGACACGGCCCAGACUCCUACGGGAGGCAGCAGUAGGGAAUCUUGCGCAAUGGGCGAAAAGCCUGACGCAGCCAUGCCGCGU
This 345-nucleotide ribosomal RNA is filed under the name uncultured bacterium. RNAcentral describes it as "bacterial SSU rRNA". It matches the Rfam family "Bacterial small subunit ribosomal RNA", at positions 28 to 402 of the family's 1533-position model. The record is from RNAcentral.